Molecule: ribosomal RNA, 654 nt
Filed under: uncultured bacterium
Lineage: Bacteria
Description: bacterial SSU rRNA
Rfam family: Bacterial small subunit ribosomal RNA
Source: RNAcentral
GAUUUGCGAAGGCAGCUUACCAGCAUGCAACUGACGCUGAGGCACGAAAGCGUGGGUAUCAAACAGGAUUAGAUACCCUGGUAGUCCACGCAGUAAACGAUGAAUACUAGCUGUUGGCGAUAUAAUGUCAGCGGUAAAGCGAAAGUGUUAAGUAUUCCACCUGGGGAGUACGCCGGCAACGGUGAAACUCAAAGGAAUUGACGGGGGCCCGCACAAGCGGAGGAACAUGUGGUUUAAUUCGAUGAUACGCGAGGAACCUUACCCGGGCUUGAAAGUUAGUGACGGACUUGGAAACAGGUCUUUCCUUCGGGACACGAAACUAGGUGCUGCAUGGUUGUCGUCAGCUCGUGCCGUGAGGUGUCGGCUUAAGUGCCUUAACGAGCGCAACCCUUGCUGUUAGUUGCCAUCAGGUAAUGCUGGGAACUCUAACAGGACUGCUACUGUAAGGUAGAGGAAGGUGGGGAUGACGUCAAAUCAGCACGGCCCUUACGUCCGGGGCGACACACGUGUUACAAUGGUGAGUACAGAGGGUUGCUACCUGGCGACAGGAUGCUAAUCUCAUAAAACUCAUCUCAGUUCGGAUCGGAGUCUGCAACUCGACUCCGUGAAGCUGGAUUCGCUAGUAAUCGCGCAUCAGCCAUGGCGCGGGAAUAC